AAAUUACUAGUAAAUUUACAUGUAAAGCAUUUGUAAUAUCCUCAGUUGCUAAUUGAGAUGGUGAAACUGGCUAUGGAGAUGGUACUGCCUCUUGAGUAACAUCUGGAGGAGGUUGUAAUAUGGGGCGCUUCCUCGUUCUUUUCCCUCUUUGUCAUUGGUCUGCCAUCUACAGUACAAAACUAAUCAACUCUAGAUAAUUUCAAUAAUACAUCAUAAAAUAUUAUAAAUAGGUUACUAGUAAAUUUCCACGUCAUACCAAAUCAUUAGUCUAAAUCACUAUAUCCGUCACUAUCUUCC
RNAcentral lists this long non-coding RNA (297 nucleotides) under Prunus persica (peach). Its description in RNAcentral is "long non-coding RNA (PPER_LNC004705)". The record is from RNAcentral. Lineage: Eukaryota; Viridiplantae; Streptophyta; Magnoliopsida; Rosales; Rosaceae.